Long non-coding RNA from Bufo gargarizans (Asiatic toad), 270 nucleotides. RefSeq lists it as uncharacterized. NCBI's taxonomy places the organism in Eukaryota, Metazoa, Chordata, Amphibia, Anura, Bufonidae. The transcript is spliced from 3 exons. The record is from RefSeq and is a predicted model, not a curated record.
GGUAAGAAGAAGCCCAUGUGUGAGGCCCGCGCCCUGGCGGGAGCAUUGAAGGGGCAUCUGACAGGUUACACAACGCGUUGCUGAUCUAUCCAGGACGGCUUCAGGAUGGACUAUAAGAAGGAGGUUCAGUCCCGAUUGGGUCCGGCGCAACCUCAGGGAGUACAUAUACAGCGGCCUUGGUUUACGACGACGCACAAUGGCACAAAGAAGAACUAAGAGCAGCACUCUGGAGACUGAACAACCUCCUGAUGCGGAAAAUGAAUGGAUCGC